Molecule: long non-coding RNA, 319 nt
Filed under: Rattus norvegicus (Norway rat)
Lineage: Eukaryota; Metazoa; Chordata; Mammalia; Rodentia; Muridae
Description: long non-coding RNA NONRATT000063
Source: RNAcentral
UUUUUUUUUUCUCCAUCUUUAUUAACUUGAGUAUUUCUUAUUUACAUUUCAAAUGUUAUUCCUUUCCCGCUUUCCUGGCCAACAUCCCCCUAACCACUUCCCCUCCCCAUCCUUCCCCCAUUACCGCCUCCCCCCAACAAUCACGUUCACUGGAGGUUCAGUCUUAGCAGGACCCAGGGCUUCCCCUUCCACUGGUGCUCUUACUAGGAUAUUCAUUGCUACCUAUGAGGUCAGAGUCCAGGGUCAGUCCAUGUAUAGUCUUUAGGUAGUGGCUUAGUCCCUGGAAGCUCUGGUUGGUUGGCAUUGUUGUUCAUGUGGG